UGGAGCCCAGAUCCAGAGGCUCAGGGGCUAGAGGCCAGUGCAAAUCGUGUGCCUGUCCUUCCCGGGAGGACUCCCAAACUUGGGGGAAACAUCAGGGACAGAAUCUAUACUCCACGUAGGGUGGGGGAGGAAAGCUCUCUUGCAAGAUGGGUUGAUGUAGAUGAGGCUGGAGAGGAUUUUGAAUGCAGCCUGAGGAAGUCUUUUGAGGCCCUAGGAAGCCACGGAAAGUUGGGGAGAAGAAGCAGUACCCUGGAACAUUGUAGAAUUGACUCCCUCUGGCAGAGCACCAGGGCUGAGCCUCUGUGGAACUUCUGCAUGGGAGCCAGGCAGACUGUUCCCUGUGACCCUGGGCUCUCUCACUUGAGAGGUUUCUAAGCAAUUAACCCCCUCAAACGGUGAGGAAACAGCUGGGCCUGGUUGGCACCUUGAAUCCCAGCAUUUGGGAAGCAAAGGCAGGUAGAUCUCUGAGUUCCAGGGCAGCCAGGAGAUCUUACUUGGAAAAAAAAAA
Molecule: long non-coding RNA, 508 nt
Filed under: Rattus norvegicus (Norway rat)
Lineage: Eukaryota; Metazoa; Chordata; Mammalia; Rodentia; Muridae
Description: long non-coding RNA NONRATT001389
Source: RNAcentral